UAAUACGGAGGGUGCAAGCGUUGCUCGGAUUUACUGGGCGUAAAGCGCACGCAGGCGGUCUGGAAGGUCGGGUGUGAAAGCCCGGGGCUCAACCCCGGAACUGCACUCGAAACCGCCAGACUUGAGGUCGAGAGAGGAGGGUAGAAUUCCUGGUGUAGAGGUGAAAUUCGUUGAUAUCAGGAGGAAUACCGGUGGCGAAGGCGGCCCUCUGGCUCGAUUCUGACGCUCAUGUGCGAAAGCGUGGGGAGCAAACAGG
RNAcentral lists this ribosomal RNA (256 nucleotides) under uncultured bacterium. Its description in RNAcentral is "partial 16S ribosomal RNA". It matches the Rfam family "Bacterial small subunit ribosomal RNA", at positions 521 to 776 of the family's 1533-position model. The record is from RNAcentral.